UACGUAGGGGGCAAGCGUUGUCCGGAAUCAUUGGGCGUAAAGCGCGUGUAGGCGGCUCGAUAAGUCCGUUCUGAAAGUCCAGGGCUCAACCCUGGGAUGCGGAUGGAUACUGUCGAGCUCGAGUCCGGAAGAGGCGAGUGGAAUUCCUGGUGUAGCGGUGAAAUGCGCAGAUAUCAGGAGGAACACCUAUUGCGAAGGCAGCUCGCUGGGACGUUACUGACGCUGAGACGCGAAAGCGUGGGGAGCAAACAGG
RNAcentral lists this ribosomal RNA (253 nucleotides) under uncultured bacterium. Its description in RNAcentral is "partial 16S ribosomal RNA". It matches the Rfam family "Bacterial small subunit ribosomal RNA", at positions 524 to 776 of the family's 1533-position model. The record is from RNAcentral.